AAAGAAGGCAAUGACAACAUUUUGGCCCCUCCUAGUUCGAGUUCUUCCUCCUGAUGUAAUCUUCAUUGCUGAUCCUGAGGGUUCUAUUAUGGGAGGGAGUUCGAUUGGGCCUCAAUUUGUUGGGAAGGGUUCCUCUGAAAUGAGGUUGGUUGGUGCCCUUAGAGAAAUUUUAGCAGGAGGGCAUCUUGGGUAUGAGGAGGUCCAAGGAGUGAUGAGAGAUGUGCUUCCUCUUAAAACAGAAAGCCAUAUGUCGUCAGGAGUUAGUCAUUCACUGCUUUCAGCCUUUUUAAUUGGUCAACGUAUGAACAGGGAGACGGAUCGGGAGCUUAAAGCACAUUGCCUUGCUUUUGAUGAUGAAUCAGGUCCUACACCAGUUGCUGAUGUUAGAUCAUUGACUCAUUAUGGGGAACCUUAUGAUGGAAAUACACGUUAU
This 433-nucleotide unclassified non-coding RNA is filed under the name Hevea brasiliensis (rubber tree). The record is from RNAcentral. Lineage: Eukaryota; Viridiplantae; Streptophyta; Magnoliopsida; Malpighiales; Euphorbiaceae.